AUUCCGUUCGCACGAUCAGGUGAUGCGGCGGAUGCUGUCGGCGAUCUCCUGCGGCUCGAAGACGCGUUUCCAGUCCUCGCGCAUGAGCAUCGGCUU
RNAcentral lists this small RNA (96 nucleotides) under Sinorhizobium meliloti 2011. Its description in RNAcentral is "putative ncRNA". Lineage: Bacteria; Pseudomonadati; Pseudomonadota; Alphaproteobacteria; Hyphomicrobiales; Rhizobiaceae. The record is from RNAcentral.